GCGGAUCAGCCCGCGCCCCGUAAAACGGGACGGCCCGCCAGAGGACCCAAACUCUAAUGUUUCUUAUUGUAACUUCUGAGUAAAACAAACAAAUAAAUCAAAACUUUCAACAACGGAUCUCUUGGUUCUGGCAUCGAUGAAGAACGCAGCAAAAUGCGAUAAGUAAUGUGAAUUGCAGAAUUCAGUGAAUCAUCGAAUCUUUGAACGCACAUUGCGCCCGCUGGUAUUCCGGCGGGCAUGCCUGUUCGAGCGUCAUUUCAACCCUCAAGCCCUCGGGUUUGGUGUUGGGGAUCGGCUCUGCCCUUCUGGGCGGUGCCGCCCCCGAAAUACAUUGGCGGUCUCGCUGCAGCCUCCAUUGCGUAGUAGCUAACACCUCGCAACUGGAACGCGGCGCGGCCAUGCCGUAAAACCCCAACUUCUGAAUGUUGACCUCGGAUCAGGUAGGAAUACCCGCUGAACUUAAGCAUAU
This 469-nucleotide ribosomal RNA is filed under the name Fusarium sp. EAS135. RNAcentral describes it as "eukaryotic LSU rRNA". The stretch from base 102 to 255 matches the Rfam family "5.8S ribosomal RNA". The record is from RNAcentral. Lineage: Eukaryota; Fungi; Ascomycota; Sordariomycetes; Hypocreales; Nectriaceae.